This 471-nucleotide long non-coding RNA is filed under the name Helianthus annuus (common sunflower). Its description in RNAcentral is "sRNA HanXRQr2_Chr06g0261711". Lineage: Eukaryota; Viridiplantae; Streptophyta; Magnoliopsida; Asterales; Asteraceae. The record is from RNAcentral.
CAAUGUUGUUGUGAUCGACGAAGCCCAUGAAAGAUGAUUAAGUACUGAUGUGUUAUUCGGGAUACUUAAAAAAGUGGUUGCAAGACGUCGAGACUUUAUGCUUAUUGUUACUUCUGCCACCCUCAACGGUCAUAAAUUUUCCAACUUCUUUGGGAGGUGAAGGGUCUGAAAAAGGUCCGGAAAAUUAGGUUGCAUCGGUUAAACACUAAAGAUUCGGCUAACCUCGUGUGGGCCAGAUUUUGAUAUUGUAAGGAAAGCAAUACGUUCGGAUCAUUUUCAUAAUGUUGCAAGACUAAAAGGGGUGGGAGAAUAUGUGAAUUGUAGGAAAGGAAUGUCGUGCCAUAUGCACCCGAGCUCGGCUCUUUAUGGGUUGAGGGACAUGUCGGCUUAUGUGGUGAACCAUGAGCUUAUACCAACGACAAAAGAAUACCUGCAAUGUGUGACUUCUGUUGAGCCAUAGUGGUUAGCUGA